UACGGGGGGGCAAGCGUUGUUCGGAAUUACUGGGCGUAAAGGGCUCGUAGGCGGCCAACUAAGUCAUACGUGAAAUCCCUCGGCUUAACCGGGGAACUGCGUCUGAUACUGGAUGGCUUGAGUUCGGGAGAGGGAUGCGGAAUUCCAGGUGUAGCGGUGAAAUGCGUAGAUAUCAGGAAGAACACCUAUGGCGAAGGCAGCUCUCUGGGACGGUACUGACGCUGAGACGCGAAAGCGUGGGGAGCGAACAGG
This 252-nucleotide ribosomal RNA is filed under the name uncultured bacterium. RNAcentral's name for it is "partial 16S ribosomal RNA". It matches the Rfam family "Bacterial small subunit ribosomal RNA", at positions 524 to 776 of the family's 1533-position model. The record is from RNAcentral.